CUUAGGCUUAUGCUCAAGUUUAGGCUUAGGCUUAGGCUGAGGAUUUGGCUUGGACUUAGGGUUAGGCUUGGGCUCAAGCAUGGCUUAG
Caenorhabditis elegans is the source of this 88-nucleotide non-coding RNA. Lineage: Eukaryota; Metazoa; Nematoda; Chromadorea; Rhabditida; Rhabditidae. The record is from Ensembl.